UACGUAGGGACCAAGCGUUGUUCGGAUUUACUGGGCGUAAAGGGCGCGUAGGCGGCGUGACAAGUCACUUGUGAAAUCUCUGAGCUUAACUCAGAACGGCCAAGUGAAACUGUUGUGCUAGAGUGCAGAAGGGGCAAUCGGAAUUCUUGGUGUAGCGGUGAAAUGCGUAGAUAUCAAGAGGAACACCUGAGGUGAAGACGGGUUGCUGGGCUGACACUGACGCUGGAGGCGCGAAAGCUAGGGGAGCGAACGGG
RNAcentral lists this ribosomal RNA (254 nucleotides) under uncultured bacterium. Its description in RNAcentral is "partial 16S ribosomal RNA". It matches the Rfam family "Bacterial small subunit ribosomal RNA", at positions 524 to 776 of the family's 1533-position model. The record is from RNAcentral.